Molecule: non-coding RNA, 343 nt
Organism: Arachis ipaensis
Lineage: Eukaryota; Viridiplantae; Streptophyta; Magnoliopsida; Fabales; Fabaceae
Source: RefSeq, a predicted model, not a curated record
ACUAAGGUAGGGGUUUUCUUAAAAUUUAUUUUAUCUUACAGAGUUGUUAUAAAUAGAUAUUAAUAUGAGAAACAUAUGUCUGUGAUUAUGAUUGUCUUAUACAUGUGGUUGUUUACUGGACUGAAUGACCGAUUGCUCGAUUGCUUGAGUAGUUUGUGAUUGCUGAAAAGAAAUUAGUUUGAAAGGUUAUUUAGUUGAUUAUUAUGAAAAGUGGCUUUCUUGGUUUUGAAGCUAUUUUUGAUAAUGUAAAUGAAUCGGCUCUAAAAAUGAUUUGAAAUAUGAAACUGAAUUAAUUUUGAAAGCGGUUUAAUUUUGAGUUAUAAGAAACUCAAUUUAUUUUGGA